Molecule: ribosomal RNA, 1029 nt
Filed under: Candidatus Moeniiplasma glomeromycotorum
Lineage: Bacteria; Bacillati; Mycoplasmatota; Mollicutes; Mycoplasmatales; Mycoplasmataceae
Description: bacterial SSU rRNA
Rfam family: Bacterial small subunit ribosomal RNA
Source: RNAcentral
UGCUUAUCUUACCUGCCGUUUAGUGGGGGAUAAAAUACCGCAUAUUCUGGUUUCGACCAGGAAAGGACUUCGGUUCGCUAAAUGAUGGGGAUAAGUCGUAUUAGUUUGUUGGUGGGGUAAAGGCCUACCAAGACCAAGAUGCGUAGCCAAACUGAGAGGUUGAAUGGUCACAGGGAAACUGAGACACGGUUCCCACUCCUACGGGAGGCAGCAGUGAGGAAUAUUCCGCAAUGGGCGAAAGCCUGACGGAGCGAUGCUACGUGAAGGAUGAAGGUCUACGGAUUGUAAACUUCUUUACUUGGAUGUACUCCUUAAAACUUGCAUCCGAGCAAAAAGUCACGACUAACUAUGUGCCAGCAGUCGCGGUAAGACAUAGGUGGCGAACGUUAUCCGGAAUUAUUGGGCGUAAAGGAUGCGUAGAUGGUAGAAUAAGUUAUUGGUUGAUACCAAACUCAAUUUGGUGGAGGCUGGUAAUACUGUUCGGCUAGAGGGCAGGAGAAGUUGAUGGAAUUCUGUGUGGAGCGGUGAAAUGCGUUGAUCUACAGAGGAACACCAAAAAAGGCGAAGGCAGUCAACUAUUCUGUUCCUGACAUUGAGGCAUGAAAGCGUGGGGAGCAAACCGGAUUAGAUACCCGGGUAGUCCACGCCCUAAACGAUGAGCAUUAGAUAUUGGGCAUUUUGCUUAGUAUCGCAGCUAACGCUUUAAAUGCUCCGCCUGAGUACUACGGUCGCAAGGCUAAAACUCAAAGGAAUUGACGGGGACCCGCACAAGCGGUGGAGCAUGUGGUUUAAUUCGAUACGACGCGCAGAACCUUACCAAGGUUUGACAUGGAGGGCAAUGUUGAAGAAACUCAACGGAGGUUAUCCCGACACAGGUGGUGCAUGGUCGUCGUCAGUUCGUGCUGUGAAGCGUACGCUUAAGUGCUAGAACGAACGCAACCCUCAUAUUUAGUUGCUAUCAUUUAGUUGAGAACUCUAAAUAGACUGCUAAGAUAACUUAGAGGAAGGAGAGGAUCAAGUCUGGUCAUC